GACGAACGCUGGCGGCGUGCUUAACACAUGCAAGUCGAACGAAGAGCGAUGGAAGCUUGCUUCUAUCACUCUUAGUGGCGAACGGGUGAGUAACGCGUAAUCAACCUGCCCUUCAGAGGGGGACAACAGUUGGAAACGACUGCUAAUACCGCAUACGAUCUAAUCUCGGCAUCGAGGAUAGAUGAAAGGUGGCCUCUACAUGUAAGCUAUCACUGAAGGAGGGGAUUGCGUCUGAUUAGCUAGUUGGAGGGGUAACGGCCCACCAAGGCGAUGAUCAGUAGCCGGUCUGAGAGGAUGAACGGCCACAUUGGGACUGAGACACGGCCCAGACUCCUACGGGAGGCAGCAGUGGGGAAUCUUCCGCAAUGGACGAAAGUCUGACGGAGCAACGCCGCGUGAGUGAUGACGGCCUUCGGGUUGUAAAGCUCUGUUAAUCGGGACGAAAGGCCUUCCUGCGAACAGUUAGAAGGAUUGACGGUACCGGAAUAGAAAGCCACGGCUAACUACGUG
RNAcentral lists this ribosomal RNA (510 nucleotides) under uncultured bacterium. Its description in RNAcentral is "partial 16S ribosomal RNA". It matches the Rfam family "Bacterial small subunit ribosomal RNA", at positions 28 to 507 of the family's 1533-position model. The record is from RNAcentral.